This 143-nucleotide small nuclear RNA is filed under the name Carlito syrichta (Philippine tarsier). Its description in RNAcentral is "U12 minor spliceosomal RNA (ENSTSYG00000021359.2)". It matches the Rfam family "U12 minor spliceosomal RNA". Rfam says of the family: Although the U12 sequence is very divergent from that of U2, the two are functionally analogous. The record is from RNAcentral. Lineage: Eukaryota; Metazoa; Chordata; Mammalia; Primates; Tarsiidae.
AUGCCUUAAACUUAUGGGUAAGGAAAAUAACGAUUUGGGGUGAUGCCCGAAUCCUCACUGCUAACAUAAGACGUUUUUUUGAGCGGAUAAAGGUUGCCCCUAAGGUGACCCACUUACUUUGCGAGAUACUGUCCGCCUCCCUU